UUAAGUUCAGCGGGUAUUCCUACCUGAUCUGAGGUCAACCUUGGAAGUUGGGGUUUUACGGCAGGGGCUCGACGCUCUCCACAUGCGGAAUAUUACUACUACGCAGAGGAGGCCACGACGGGUCCGCCACUAGAUUUAGGGGCCGGCCCGCCCCCGAGAGGGCUUAGGCCGAUCCCCAACACCACACCCGUGGGGGUAUG
RNAcentral lists this unclassified non-coding RNA (200 nucleotides) under Bionectriaceae sp. RNAcentral's name for it is "partial internal transcribed spacer 2". Lineage: Eukaryota; Fungi; Ascomycota; Sordariomycetes; Hypocreales; Bionectriaceae. The record is from RNAcentral.